CUACAGUUGGAUAGGAAAUACUGGGCUCAAUGUGUUUAAGGUUAAGAUUAAUUCCUCACUUCCUCCGAAUCUAUUUUAAAAACAGAGCAAAGGAUGGCAUAUGCUUUCUUCUAACAAAAUGACAGAUGAUCAAAGGAUAAACAUGAUCUGCAUGUAAAACCCUCUGACUACUGCCAUGGCCCUUUGCCUACAGAUUAAAAAAAAAAAAGCAGUAUUUUAUCAAUGUGGUUAAAAUUUGGUUGUCUGUGUUUAUUCAGAAAACUCAGUAGUGGCAACAGCCAGAAAAAUAGUGAAUCAUGAUUGGCUAAAUUGAAACAAGCCAGUAGUAGAACAAAGGAAAAACUUAGUGGUACUCUGCUCUUAAAUGUCUGCUUCACAGCAAUGAACAGAGACCACAGCCUCUCUCUCUGCAAGAGGGAGCUUGAGGUUCAAGUCUGAGACUUAGUUUCUGAAAGCAGAAAUCUGCCUGCUGUCGAGGCGGCAAAUCAAUUUUUCUGAUUUGCCGUAACAAUCCUAAUUGAUGUUGGCUCAUUAUUAUUCCCUGCGUUAUGUAAACAAGAACUCUCAUUGUGUGCAGCCACUCAUUAGGGCUGAUUUAAUUGAAUUUGAGAAGGAAAG
This 618-nucleotide long non-coding RNA is filed under the name Homo sapiens (human). RNAcentral's name for it is "LHRI_LNC311.1". Lineage: Eukaryota; Metazoa; Chordata; Mammalia; Primates; Hominidae. The record is from RNAcentral.